RNAcentral lists this small RNA (117 nucleotides) under Marmota monax (woodchuck). The record is from RNAcentral. Lineage: Eukaryota; Metazoa; Chordata; Mammalia; Rodentia; Sciuridae.
AUUGGGCAUGGUAGCACAUGUCUAUAGUCCUAGGCACUGAGGAGGCUGAGGCAGAAGGAUCACUUGAGCCCAAGAGAUGGGGGCUAUCCUGGGCAACAUAGUGAGACCUUAUCUCUU